This 239-nucleotide unclassified non-coding RNA is filed under the name uncultured fungus. RNAcentral describes it as "partial contains 18S rRNA, ITS1, 5.8S rRNA, ITS2 and 28S rRNA". Lineage: Eukaryota; Fungi. The record is from RNAcentral.
AAGGAUCAUUACUGAACUGUCGACACGAGUUGUUGCUGGCCCUCGAAAGGGGCACGUGCACACUCUGUUUACACAUCCACUCACACCUGUGCACCCUCCGUAGUUCUAUGGCCUUGGGGACUCUGUCCCAUUGCCGUGGUUCUACGUCUUUACACACACACCGUAAUAAAGUCUCAUGGAAUGUAUGUCGCGUUUAACGCAAUACAAUACAACUUUCAGCAACGGAUCUCUUGGCUCUC